CCUACGGGAGGCAGCAGUGGGGAAUAUUGCACAAUGGGGGAAACUCUGAUGCAGCGACGCCGCGUGAGUGAAGAAGUACUUCUGUAUGUAAAGCUCUUUCAGUAGGGAAGUUAAUGACGGUACCUGACUAAGAAGCCCCGGCUAACUACGUUCCAGCAGCCGCGGUAAUACGCAGGGGGCAAGCGUUAUCCGGAUUUACCGGGUGUAAAGGGUGCGUAGGUGGCAGGGCAAGUCAGAUGUGAAAGCCCGGGGCUCAACCCCGGUACUGCAGUUGAAACUGUCCAGCUGGAGUGCAGGAGAGGUAAGCGGAAUUCGUGGUGUAGCGGUGAAAUGCGUAGAUAUUAGGAGGAACGCCGGUGGCGAAGGCGGCUUACUGGACUGUAACUGACACUGAGGCACGAAAGCGUGGGGAGCAAACAGGAUUAGAUACCCCAGUAGUC
This 440-nucleotide ribosomal RNA is filed under the name uncultured bacterium. Its description in RNAcentral is "partial 16S ribosomal RNA". It matches the Rfam family "Bacterial small subunit ribosomal RNA", at positions 338 to 795 of the family's 1533-position model. The record is from RNAcentral.